UACGGAGGGUGCAAGCGUUAUCCGGAUUCACUGGGUUUAAAGGGUGCGUAGGCGGGUAUGUAAGUCAGUGGUGAAAUCUCGGAGCUUAACUCCGAAACUGACAUUGAUACUACAUACCUUGAAUAUUGUGGAGGUUUGCGGAAUAUGUCAUGUAGCGGUGAAAUGCUCAGAUAUGACAUAGAACACCUAUUGCGAAGGCAGCAGGCUACACAUAUAUUGACGCUGAGGCACGAAAGCGUGGGGAUCAAACAGG
This 253-nucleotide ribosomal RNA is filed under the name uncultured bacterium. RNAcentral describes it as "partial 16S ribosomal RNA". It matches the Rfam family "Bacterial small subunit ribosomal RNA", at positions 524 to 776 of the family's 1533-position model. The record is from RNAcentral.